RNAcentral lists this ribosomal RNA (450 nucleotides) under uncultured bacterium. RNAcentral's name for it is "partial 16S ribosomal RNA". It matches the Rfam family "Bacterial small subunit ribosomal RNA", at positions 354 to 796 of the family's 1533-position model. The record is from RNAcentral.
GUGGGGAAUAUUGGACAAUGGGCGAAAGCCUGAUCCAGCCAUGCCGCGUGUGUGAAGAAGGUCUUCGGAUUGUAAAGCACUUUAAGUUGGGAGGAAGGGCAUUAACCUAAUACGUUAGUGUUUUGACGUUACCGACAGAAUAAGCACCGGCUAACUUCGUGCCAGCAGCCGCGGUAAUACGAAGGGUGCAAGCGUUAAUCGGAAUUACUGGGCGUAAAGCGCGCGUAGGUGGUUCGUUAAGUUGGAUGUGAAAGCCCCGGGCUCAACCUGGGAACUGCAUUCAAAACUGGCGAGCUAGAGUACGGUAGAGGGUGGUGGAAUUUCCUGUGUAGCGGUGAAAUGCGUAGAUAUAGGAAGGAACACCAGUGGCGAAGGCGACCACCUGGACUGAUACUGACACUGAGGUGCGAAAGCGUGGGGAGCAAACAGGAUUAGAAACCCUGGUAGUCC